This 510-nucleotide ribosomal RNA is filed under the name uncultured bacterium. RNAcentral describes it as "bacterial SSU rRNA". It matches the Rfam family "Bacterial small subunit ribosomal RNA", at positions 791 to 1304 of the family's 1533-position model. The record is from RNAcentral.
UAGUCCACGCCGUAAACGAUGUCAACUAGCCGUUGGGACACUUGAUGUCUUAGUGGCGCAGCUAACGCGAUAAGUAACCCACCUGGGGAGUACGUUCGCAAGAAUGAAACUCAAAGGAAUUGACGGGGGCCCGCACAAGCGGUGGAGCAUGUGGUUUAAUUCGAUGAUACGCGAGGAACCUUACCAGGGCUUAAAUGUAAGUUGCAUUAGCUAGAGAUAGCUAUUUCUUCGGACCACUUACAAGGUGCUGCAUGGUUGUCGUCAGUUCGUGCCGUGAGGUGUCAGGUUAAGUCCUAUAACGAGCGCAACCCCUGUUGUUAGUUGCCAGCGAGUAAUGUCGGGAACUCUAACAAGACUGCCGGUGCAAACCGUGAGGAAGGUGGGGAUGACGUCAAAUCAUCACGGCCCUUACGUCCUGGGCUACACACGUGCUACAAUGGUCGGUACAGAGAGCAGCCACUACGCAAGUAGGAGCGAAUCUACAAAACCGAUCUCAGUUCGGAUCGGAGU